AGUGAACGCUGGCGGUAGGCCUAACACAUGCAAGUCGAACGGCAGCACAGUAAGAGCUUGCUCUUACGGGUGGCGAGUGGCGGACGGGUGAGGAAUACAUCGGAAUCUACUUUUUCGUGGGGGAUAACGUAGGGAAACUUACGCUAAUACCGCAUACGACCUACGGGUGAAAGCAGGGGAUCUUCGGGCCUUGCGCGAUUGAACGAGCCGAUGUCGGAUUAGCUAGUUGGCGGGGUAAAGGCCCACCAAGGCGACGAUCCGUAGCUGGUCUGAGAGGAUGAUCAGCCACACUGGAACUGAGACACGGUCCAGACUCCUACGGGAGGCAGCAGUGGGGAAUAUUGGACAAUGGGCGCAAGCCUGAUCCAGCCAUACCGCGUGGGUGAAGAAGGCCUUCGGGUUGUAAAGCCCUUUUGUUGGGAAAGAAAAGCAGCAGGUUAAUACCCCGCUGUUCUGACGGUACCCAAAGAAUAAGCACCGGCUAACUUCGUG
This 492-nucleotide ribosomal RNA is filed under the name uncultured bacterium. RNAcentral describes it as "partial 16S ribosomal RNA". It matches the Rfam family "Bacterial small subunit ribosomal RNA", at positions 29 to 507 of the family's 1533-position model. The record is from RNAcentral.